UGUGCAGUUGCAGCUGCCUCAUGUUAGUAGCAACCUGGUUGCUGAGAAAUAAAAAAUAACGCAACAAGCUCCUUUUAAAAGGUAAUGCUCCAAACUUUGAUCUCUCAGCAGAUAUAAACGUUCUCAGUUUCUGUCAUGCUCUUCCUUCUUGUUUCCAGGAAGAACACAACAGCAUUAAUGUUGGGGAUGGAGGUAGCCCUGAAAUAGGAGGCAAUGGCAUUGGGAACAACUUUGUAGCUUCUCCAGGGGACAGUGAUACCAUUAGUAUUGGUGAUGGAGGUGACCCUGUUAUAGGAGGCAACGGUAUUGGGAACAAUUUUGUAGCUGCUCCAGGAGGAGGAGACAGCAUUAGUGUCGGUGAUGGAGGCAGCCCUGUUAUAGAAGGCAAUGGCAUUGGGGUAAGUUGAACUCUAUAGGAUUCGAGGCAACUGCUAUUUGAGCCAACUCAUAAUUUCUCAGAAAUGAUCUGCCUUAAACACAUGAACAUCUGUAUUUUAUCAAAUCCCCCUCCCUUUACCUCAAGAAGUUGUAUACACCUUUAAAUGUUGUGAUGCUUUACCUAAUACAAUGGAAAGGAAUUUGUGGCACAUGAUAAAAGGAAUUUCAAGAGGAAUAACAAUAAGGGAAUCCUGUAAACUAAAAAAAUAAGGAGAUAAAUGUGGAAAAAUUGGAAGAAGAAUUGAGAAAUUUGGAAAACAAGGGUUUUUUUUCAUAAAGAGAUAGAAGAAUAUUGGCAGAAAUUCAGGCAAAGAGAAAGGAACUAGAAAACUUAGAGAUAGAAAAAGUUCAGAGGGAUUUGUAUAUAAAGAGGAAUUUUUUUUAGUUUAGCAAUAAAAAUUCAAAAUUGUUAGCUAGAAUGUGCA
Molecule: long non-coding RNA, 863 nt
Filed under: Pogona vitticeps (central bearded dragon)
Lineage: Eukaryota; Metazoa; Chordata; Lepidosauria; Squamata; Agamidae
Description: lncRNA (ENSPVIG00000003549.1)
Source: RNAcentral